RNAcentral lists this ribosomal RNA (497 nucleotides) under uncultured bacterium. RNAcentral describes it as "partial 16S ribosomal RNA". It matches the Rfam family "Bacterial small subunit ribosomal RNA", at positions 28 to 507 of the family's 1533-position model. The record is from RNAcentral.
GAUGAACGCUGGCGGCGUGCCUAACACAUGCAAGUCGAGCGAACGGACGAGAAGCUUGCUUCUCUGAUGUUAGCGGCGGACGGGUGAGUAACACGUGGAUAACCUACCUAUAAGACUGGGAUAACGUCGGGAAACCGGAGCUAAUACCGGAUAAUAUUUUGAACCGCAUGGUUCAAAAGUGAAAGACGGUCUUGCUGUCACUUAUAGAUGGAUCCGCGCUGCAUUAGCUAGUUGGUAAGGUAACGGCUUACCAAGGCAACGAUGCAUAGCCGACCUGAGAGGGUGAUCAGCCACACUGGAACUGAGACACGGUCCAGACUCCUACGGGAGGCAGCAGUAGGGAAUCUUCCACAAUGGGCGAAAGCCUGACGGAGCAACGCCGCGUGAGUGAUGAAGGUCUUCGGAUCGUAAAACUCUGUUAUUAGGGAAGAACAUAUGUGUAAGUAACUGUGCACAUCUUGACGGUACCUAAUCAGAAAGCCACGGCUAACUACGUG